Long non-coding RNA from Mauremys reevesii (Reeves's turtle), 846 nucleotides. RefSeq lists it as uncharacterized. The transcript has 2 exons. The record is from RefSeq and is a predicted model, not a curated record. NCBI's taxonomy places the organism in Eukaryota, Metazoa, Chordata, Testudines, Geoemydidae.
GGAGCUACAUCAAUUGAUACCAUCUGACCAUAUGGACCAAAGAGAUUAAGUAGCUUGCUUGAGAAGUCUGUGGUACAUCUGGGGAAAGAACCAAGAGCUCCUAACAUAUAAUCCAGUGUCUUAAUUACAAGAUCAUCCUUCCCCUCCAAAACAUUUACGUUGCUGCAAGGACCCACUCCCUUGUUUCAGUAAAGAGCCUGUAACUUUGCAGAAGCUGGUGUUGAAGAGGAGUAUGCUUGGAAACCAUAAGGGCCCCCUGCAAACGUAAGAACAGACCAUAGCCACAAGUGAGACCUCGUGACUCUAGUUCUUCUGGAUGCUGUAGUGUUUCAACAAGAUACUUCAGCAGAGAGUGGUGGAGAAAAGAAGUGCAGUGGAAAGAAAGAAGAGUCAAUGGGAAGAAAAGGAAUUCUGCAGAUGUAGAAUUAAAGGCCAUUUCCCUCUUGUGAAGUUCCUAGUGGGCCACAUGUGCAUGGGAUCUUGAGAUGAAGAAAUCAAAGGAAACUGGUGAAAAGAAAACUAAUUUAAACUUAAUAUUAUCAACUAUACCUAUAUUAAAUUCAUUCAGGAUGUUGUAGUUGUCACAAACAUGGUUUGGGGUUGUGCUGGGGACACUGCAAUGGGAAGUGGUCGACAACAUUUCCCCCCCUCAUUAGAAGUGUGGCCCACACUGAAAGUAUGAACCACUGAUACAAUGGCUUUUCUCAGGGCUGGUUGAUAUUUUUCUGACCAAACUGUUUUUCAGCAAAAAAUUGGAUUUUUGACAGAGCACCUUUUUUUUUUUGGUUCAAAAAUCAAAUGCCUAAAAGCCUAGAUAUUCUGAAUGAAAAAAUUCCUAACUUUUGA